RNAcentral lists this ribosomal RNA (468 nucleotides) under uncultured bacterium. Its description in RNAcentral is "partial 16S ribosomal RNA". It matches the Rfam family "Bacterial small subunit ribosomal RNA", at positions 28 to 507 of the family's 1533-position model. The record is from RNAcentral.
GACGAACGCUGGCGGCGUGCCUAACACAUGCAAGUCGAACGGAAACGCCCUGCUUGUGUGCGGUGCCCGAGUGGCGAACGGGUGAGUAACACGUGUGUAACCUGCCCUUGACUUUGGGAUAACUUCAGGAAACUGGGGUUAAUCUCGGACAGGAUCUCCCGCUGCAUGGUGGGCGUUGGAAAGUUUCGGCGGUUGGGGAUGGACUGGCGGCUUACCAGCUUGUUGGUGGGGUAGUGGCUUACCAAGGCCUUGACGGGUAGCCGGCCUGAGAGGGUGAGCGGCCACAUUGGGACUGAGAUGCGGCACAGGCUCCUACGGGAGGCAACAGUGGGGAAUAUUGCACAAUGGACGGAGGCCUGGUGCAGCAACGCCGCGUGCUGGAAGGCGGCCUUCGGGUUGUAGACCACUUUCGCCUGUAACGAAGCGUGAGUGACGGUAAUGGGUAAAGAAGCACCGGCUAACUACGUG